Molecule: ribosomal RNA, 691 nt
Filed under: uncultured Planctomycetota bacterium
Lineage: Bacteria; Pseudomonadati; Planctomycetota
Description: bacterial SSU rRNA
Rfam family: Bacterial small subunit ribosomal RNA
Source: RNAcentral
GGUUGUAAAGCUCUGUCAGGAGUUAAGAAAUGUAAGUGUGCUAAUACCACAUUUAUUUGACGAAGGCUCCAAAGGAAGCCACGGCUAACUCUGUGCCAGCAGCCGCGGUAAUACAGAGGUGGCAAGCGUUGUUCGGAAUUAUUGGGCGUAAAGAGCACGUAGGUGGGUUUGUAAGUCAGAUGUGAAAGCCUUCUGUUCAACGGAAGAAUUGCAUCUGAAACUGCGAGUCUUGAGUGUAGGAGGGGAGAAUGGAACUUCUGGUGGAGCGGUGAAAUGCGUAGAUAUCAGAAGGAACGCCGGCGGCGAAAGCGAUUCUCUGGCCUAUUACUGACGCUCAGUGUGCGAAAGCUAGGGGAGCAAACGGGAUUAGAUACCCCGGUAGUCCUAGCCGUAAACGAUGGGCACUAAGUAGGGGGAAUUACCGAUGUUCUCUCUGCCGUAGCUAACGCAUUAAGUGCCCCGCCUGGGGAGUACGGCCGCAGGGCUAAAACUCAAAAGAAUUGACGGGGGCUCGCGCAAGCGGUGGAGCAUGUGGCUUAAUUCGAUGCAACGCGAAGAACCUUACCGGGGCUUGACAUGGUAGAAGUAGGAACCCGAAAGGGUAACGAACGGUAUCCAGUCCGUAACUAUCACAGGUGUUGCAUGGCUGUCGUCAGCUCGUGUCGUGAGACGUUGGGUUAAGUCCCCUAAC